RNAcentral lists this ribosomal RNA (253 nucleotides) under uncultured bacterium. RNAcentral describes it as "partial 16S ribosomal RNA". It matches the Rfam family "Bacterial small subunit ribosomal RNA", at positions 524 to 776 of the family's 1533-position model. The record is from RNAcentral.
UACGUAGGGUGCGAGCGUUGUCCGGAAUUACUGGGCGUAAAGAGCUCGUAGGUGGUUUGUCGCGUUGUUCGUGAAAACUCACAGCUUAACUGUGGGCGUGCGGGCGAUACGGGCAGACUGGAGUACUGCAGGGGAGACUGGAAUUCCUGGUGUAGCGGUGGAAUGCGCAGAUAUCAGGAGGAACACCAAUGGCGAAGGCAGAUCUCUGGGCCGUAACUGACGCUGAGGAGCGAAAGCAUGGGGAGCGAACAGG